Molecule: ribosomal RNA, 497 nt
Filed under: uncultured bacterium
Lineage: Bacteria
Description: partial 16S ribosomal RNA
Rfam family: Bacterial small subunit ribosomal RNA
Source: RNAcentral
GAUGAACGCUGGCGGCGUGCCUAAUACAUGCAAGUCGAGCGAACAGACGAGAAGCUUGCUCCUUUGAUGUUAGCGGCGGACGGGUGAGUAACACGUGGAUAACCUACCGAUAAGACUGGGAUAACUUCGGGAAACCGGAGCUAAUACCAGAUCACAUGAUCAACCGCUUUGUUCAACAGAGAAAGACGGUCUUGCUGUUACUUAUAGAUGGAUCCGCGCCUCAUUAGCUAGUUGGUAAGGUAACGCCUUACCAAGGCAACGAUUCGUAGCCGACCUGAGAGGAUGAUCGGCCACACUGGAACUGAGACACGGUCCAGACUCCUACGGGAGGCAGCAGUAGGGAAUCUUCCGCAAUGGGCGAAAGCCUGACGGAGCAACGCCGCGUGAGUGAAGAAGGUCUUCGGAUCGUAAAGCCCUUUUAUUAGGGAAGAACAAAUGUGUAAGUAAAUAUGCACGUCUUGACGGUACCUAAUCAGAAAGCCACGGCUAACUACGUG